GGUUCAGGACGAACGCUGGCGGCGUGCUUAACACAUGCAAGUCGAACGGGAGUAUUGAAGAAGCUUGCUUAGAGAUACUUUAGUGGCGGACGGGUGAGUAACGCGUGAGGAGCUGUCCUAUGCAGGGGGACAACAGCUGGAAACGGCUGCUAAUACCCCAUAAGCCGAGAGGUAAAAGGAUCAAUCCGGCAGAGGAGGUACUCGCGUCCUAUCAGCUAGUAGGUGAGGUAACGGCUCACCUAGGCGAAGACGGGUAGCCGGCCUGAGAGGGCGAACGGUCACACUGGAACUGAGAUACGGUCCAGACUCCUACGGGAGGCAGCAGUGGGGAAUAUUGGGCAAUGGGGGAAACCCUGACCCAGCGACGCCGCGUGGGUGAAGAAAUCCUUCGGGAUGUAAAGCCCUGUUGUAUGGGAAGAGCGGAAGACGGUACCAUACGAGGAAGCCCCGGCAAACUACGUGCCAGCAGCCGC
Molecule: ribosomal RNA, 473 nt
Filed under: uncultured bacterium
Lineage: Bacteria
Description: bacterial SSU rRNA
Rfam family: Bacterial small subunit ribosomal RNA
Source: RNAcentral